GAUGAAGAACGUAGCGAAAUGCGAAAAGUAAUGUGAAUUGCAGAAUUCAGUGAAUCAUCGAAUCUUUGAACGCACAUUGCGCCCGCCAGUAUUUCUGGCGGGCAUGCCUGUCUGAGCGUCAUUUCAACCCUCACGCCCCUAGGGCGUGGUGUUGGGGAUCGGCCAGCGCCCGCGAGGGCAAGGCCGUCCCCCAAAUCUAGUGGCGGACCCGUCGUGGCCUCCCCUGCGAAGUAGUGAUAUUCCGCAUAGGAGAGCGACGAGCCCCUGCCGUUAAACCCCCAACUUUCUCAGGUUGACCUCAGAUCAGGUAGGAAUACCCGCUGAACUUAAGCAUAUCAAUAAGCGGAGGA
RNAcentral lists this unclassified non-coding RNA (350 nucleotides) under soil metagenome. Its description in RNAcentral is "partial contains 5.8S ribosomal RNA, internal transcribed spacer 2, and large subunit ribosomal RNA". The stretch from base 1 to 121 matches the Rfam family "5.8S ribosomal RNA", at positions 35 to 154 of the family's 154-position model. The record is from RNAcentral.